CGGUUAGCUCAGUGGUAGAGCGCCUGCCUUACAAGCAGGUGGUCAUAGGUUCAAAUCCUAUACCGC
This 66-nucleotide transfer RNA is filed under the name Phaeocystis globosa. It matches the Rfam family "tRNA". From Rfam's summary of the family: Transfer RNA (tRNA) molecules are approximately 80 nucleotides in length. Their secondary structure includes four short double-helical elements and three loops (D, anti-codon, and T loops). The record is from RNAcentral. RNAcentral also lists the same sequence under 1 other name. Lineage: Eukaryota; Haptophyta; Phaeocystales; Phaeocystaceae.